GUGGGGAAUAUUGGACAAUGGGCGCAAGCCUGAUCCAGCCAUGCCGCGUGAGUGAUGAAGGCCUUAGGGUUGUAAAGCUCUUUCACCGAUGAAGAUAAUGACGGUAGUCGGAGAAGAAGCCCCGGCUAACUUCGUGCCAGCAGCCGCGGUAAUACGAAGGGGGCUAGCGUUGUUCGGAAUUACUGGGCGUAAAGCGCACGUAGGCGGAUAUUUAAGUCAGGGGUGAAAUCCCAGAGCUCAACUCUGGAACUGCCUUUGAUACUGGGUAUCUCGAGUAUGGAAGAGGUGAGUGGAAUUCCGAGUGUAGAGGUGAAAUUCGUAGAUAUUCGGAGGAACACCAGUGGCGAAGGCGGCUCACUGGUCCAUUACUGACGCUGAGGUGCGAAAGCGUGGGGAGCAAACAGGAUUAGAUACCCGGGUAGUCC
RNAcentral lists this ribosomal RNA (425 nucleotides) under uncultured bacterium. Its description in RNAcentral is "partial 16S ribosomal RNA". It matches the Rfam family "Bacterial small subunit ribosomal RNA", at positions 354 to 796 of the family's 1533-position model. The record is from RNAcentral.